Long non-coding RNA from Dermochelys coriacea (leatherback sea turtle), 245 nucleotides. RefSeq lists it as uncharacterized. The transcript has 3 exons. Lineage: Eukaryota; Metazoa; Chordata; Testudines; Dermochelyidae. The record is from RefSeq and is a predicted model, not a curated record.
UCCUGGAUUGUCUGUGUACUGCUGUAUUGCUCUCCCAGGAGACCUCAGGGUGAUUGAAGUCUCCCAUGAGAACCAGGGCCUGCGAUCUAGUAACUUCCGUUAAUUGCCAGAAGAAAGUCUCUUCCACCUCAUCCCCCUGGUCUGGUAGUCCAUAGCAAACUCCCACCACGACAUUACCCUUGUUCCUCACACUUCUAAACUUAAUCCAGAGACUCUCAGGUUUUUCUGCAUGUGGACCCCAGCCA